GAUGAACGCUGGCGGCGUGCCUAAUACAUGCAAGUCGAGCGAACGGACUAGAAGCUUGCUUCUCUGAUGUUAGCGGCGGACGGGUGAGUAACACGUGGAUAACCUACCUAUAAGACUGGGAUGACUUCGGGAAACCGUAGCUAAUACCGGAUAAUAUUUUGAACCGCAUGGUUCAAAAGUGAAAGACGGUCUUGCUGUCACUUAUAGAUGGAUCCGCGCUGCAUUAGCUAGUUGGUAAGGUAACGGCUUACCAAGGCAACGAUGCAUAGCCGACCUGAGAGGGUGAUCGGCCACACUGGAACUGAGACACGGUCCAGACUCCUACGGGAGGCAGCAGUAGGGAAUCUUCCGCAAUGGGCGAAAGCCUGACGGAGCAACGCCGCGUGAGUGAUGAAGGUCUUCGGAUCGUAAAACUCUGUUAUUAGGGAAGAACAUAUGUGUAAGUAACUGUGCACAUCUUGACGGUACCUAAUCAGAAAGCCACGGCUAUCUACGUG
This 497-nucleotide ribosomal RNA is filed under the name uncultured bacterium. Its description in RNAcentral is "partial 16S ribosomal RNA". It matches the Rfam family "Bacterial small subunit ribosomal RNA", at positions 28 to 507 of the family's 1533-position model. The record is from RNAcentral.